UGGGGAAUAUUGGACAAUGGGCGAAAGCCUGAUCCAGCCAUGCCGCGUGUGUGAAGAAGGUCUUCGGAUUGUAAAGCACUUUAAGUUGGGAGGAAGGGCAGUAAGCGAAUACCUUGCUGUUUUGACGUUACCGACAGAAUAAGCACCGGCUAACUCUGUGCCAGCAGCCGCGGUAAUACAGAGGGUGCAAGCGUUAAUCGGAAUUACUGGGCGUAAAGCGCGCGUAGGCGGCUAAUUGAGUCGGAUGUGAAAUCCCCGAGCUUAACUUGGGAAUUGCAUUCGAUACUGGUUAGCUAGAGUGUGGGAGAGGAUGGUAGAAUUCCAGGUGUAGCGGUGAAAUGCGUAGAGAUCUGGAGGAAUACCGAUGGCGAAGGCAGCCAUCUGGCCUAACACUGACGCUGAGGUACGAAAGCAUGGGGCGCAAACAGG
This 429-nucleotide ribosomal RNA is filed under the name Pseudomonadota bacterium. RNAcentral's name for it is "Proteobacteria bacterium partial 16S ribosomal RNA". It matches the Rfam family "Bacterial small subunit ribosomal RNA", at positions 355 to 776 of the family's 1533-position model. The record is from RNAcentral. Lineage: Bacteria; Pseudomonadati; Pseudomonadota.